GGAGAGGUGGGUGAGUGGCUGAAACCACCAGUUUGCUAAACUGACGUACUGGGUAACCGGUACCACGGGUUCGAAUCCCGUCCUCUCCGCCA
This 92-nucleotide transfer RNA is filed under the name Alistipes indistinctus. Its description in RNAcentral is "tRNA-Ser". It matches the Rfam family "tRNA". From Rfam's summary of the family: Transfer RNA (tRNA) molecules are approximately 80 nucleotides in length. Their secondary structure includes four short double-helical elements and three loops (D, anti-codon, and T loops). Further hydrogen bonds mediate the characteristic L-shaped molecular structure. tRNAs have two regions of fundamental functional importance: the anti-codon, which is responsible for specific mRNA codon recognition, and the 3' end, to which the tRNAs corresponding amino acid is attached (by aminoacyl-tRNA synthetases). tRNAs cope with the degeneracy of the genetic code in two manners: having more than one tRNA (with a specific anti-codon) for a particular amino acid; and 'wobble' base-pairing, i.e. permitting non-standard base-pairing at the 3rd anti-codon position. The record is from RNAcentral. RNAcentral also lists the same sequence under 1 other name. Lineage: Bacteria; Pseudomonadati; Bacteroidota; Bacteroidia; Bacteroidales; Rikenellaceae.